RNAcentral lists this ribosomal RNA (412 nucleotides) under uncultured Sporichthyaceae bacterium. Its description in RNAcentral is "bacterial SSU rRNA". It matches the Rfam family "Bacterial small subunit ribosomal RNA", at positions 506 to 916 of the family's 1533-position model. Lineage: Bacteria; Bacillati; Actinomycetota; Actinomycetes; Sporichthyales; Sporichthyaceae. The record is from RNAcentral.
UGUCAGCAGCCGCGGUAAUACAUAGGGUGCAAGCGUUGUCCGGAAUUAUUGGGCGUAAAGAGCUCGUAGGUGGUUCGUUACGUCGGAUGUGAAAAUCUGGGGCUCAACCCCAGACCUGCAUCCGAUACGGUCGAGCUAGAGUUUGGUAGGGGAGACUGGAAUUCCUGGUGUAGCGGUGGAAUGCGCAGAUAUCAGGAGGAACACCAAUGGCGAAGGCAGGUCUCUGGGCCAAUACUGACACUGAGGAGCGAAAGCGUGGGGAGCGAACAGGAUUAGAUACCCUGGUAGUCCACGCCGUAAACGGUGGGCGCUAGUUGUGGGAACCUUCCACGGUUUCUGCGACGCAGCUAACGCAUUAAGCGCCCCGCCUGGGGAGUACGAUCGCAAGAUUAAAACUUAAAGGAAUUGGCGG